CGGACGGGUGAGUAACACGUGGGUAACCUACCUAUAAGACUGGGAUAACUUCGGGAAACCGGAGCUAAUACCGGAUAACAUUUGGAACCGCAUGGUUCUAAAGUGAAAGAUGGUUUUGCUAUCACUUAUAGAUGGACCCGCGCCGUAUUAGCUAGUUGGUAAGGUAACGGCUUACCAAGGCGACGAUACGUAGCCGACCUGAGAGGGUGAUCGGCCACACUGGAACUGAGACACGGUCCAGACUCCUACGGGAGGCAGCAGUAGGGAAUCUUCCGCAAUGGGCGAAAGCCUGACGGAGCAACGCCGCGUGAGUGAUGAAGGGUUUCGGCUCGUAAAACUCUGUUAUUAGGGAAGAACAAAUGUGUAAGUAACUGUGCACGUCUUGACGGUACCUAAUCAGAAAGCCACGGCUAACUACGUGCCAGCAGCCGCGGUAAUACGUAGGUGGCAAGCGUUAUCCGGAAUUAUUGGGCGUAAAGCGCGCGUAGGCGGUUUCUUAAGUCUGAUGUGAAAGCCCACGGCUCAACCGUGGAGGGUCAUUGGAAACUGGGAAACUUGAGUGCAGAAGAGGAAAGUGGAAUUCCAUGUGUAGCGGUGAAAUGCGCAGAGAUAUGGAGGAACACCAGUGGCGAAGGCGACUUUCUGGUCUGUAACUGACGCUGAUGUGCGAAAGCGUGGGGAUCAAACAGGAUUAGAUACCCUGGUAGUCCACGCCGUAAACGAUGAGUGCUAAGUGUUAGGGGGUUUCCGCCCCUUAGUGCUGCAGCUAACGCAUUAAGCACUCCGCCUGGGGAGUACGACCGCAAGGUUGAAACUCAAAGGAAUUGACGGGGACCCGCACAAGCGGUGGAGCAUGUGGUUUAAUUCGAAGCAACGCGAAGAACCUUACCAAAUCUUGACAUCCUUUGAAAACUCUAGAGAUAGAGCUUUCCCCUUCGGGGGACAAAGUGACAGGUGGUGCAUGGUUGUCGUCAGCUCGUGUCGUGAGAUGUUGGGUUAAGUCCCGCAACGACGCAACCCUUAAGCUUAGUUGCCAUCAUUAAGUUGGGCACUCUAGGUUGACUGCCGGUGACAAACCGGAGGAAGGUGGGGAUGACGUCAAAUCAUCAUGCCCCUUAUGAUUUGGGCUACACACGUGCUACAAUGGACAAUACAAAGGGCAGCUAAACCGCGAGGUCAUGCAAAUCCCAUAAAGUUGUUCUCAGUUCGGAUUGUAGUCUGCAACUCGACUACAUGAAGCUGGAAUCGCUAGUAAUCGUAGAUCAGCAUGCUACGGUGAAUACGUUCCCGGGUCUUGUACACACCGCCCGUCACACCACGAGAGUUUGUAACACCCGAAGCCGGUGGAGUAACCAUUUAUGGAGCUAGCCGUCGAAGGUGGGACAAUGAUUGGGU
RNAcentral lists this ribosomal RNA (1395 nucleotides) under Staphylococcus saprophyticus. Its description in RNAcentral is "bacterial SSU rRNA". It matches the Rfam family "Bacterial small subunit ribosomal RNA". Lineage: Bacteria; Bacillati; Bacillota; Bacilli; Caryophanales; Staphylococcaceae. The record is from RNAcentral.